Oncorhynchus tshawytscha (Chinook salmon) is the source of this 2172-nucleotide long non-coding RNA. NCBI's taxonomy places the organism in Eukaryota, Metazoa, Chordata, Actinopteri, Salmoniformes, Salmonidae. The record is from Ensembl.
AGGACCAAGGGGUGCUGUGCUGUAACCAGACCUUGCACCUUGGGGUGGAGGCUGGGCACCAGUGGUCCUCAGGUGGCCACUUGUAUCUGCCAUGAUCCAGGCAAACACUGCUGUGGAGAGGAGUCAUACAACCCUCAGAAUGAAAUCUGCUGCAACGGACUGAAGUGAGUUGCUCUGUACGGUGGAAACUGCAAAGACUCAGCAGGUGGAGGGUUAUGCAUGUUAUGCUGCAGAGGGAAGACCUACGACCCCAGCAGUGGCCAGAUGAAGUCCGUUGCCGGGACUCUGUACGACCUUCAGGUUCAGGACAGGCUCUCAGAGGAUGCCCAGUGCUGUGGGAAUCUCCUGAUGGAGGCCGGCUCCACCUGCUGCUCCGACCCAGGACUAGACCUGCUCUACCCUACCCAGCCAGGGUUCACCUGCUGUGGGCACCGAUACCCCAACUCCUCCCUGUGGUCUUGCUGUGCGGGGGUCCUGCACCCAAGGCUUGAACCACACACCACCAGCAUGAACAUGACUCCAGGACCUAGGAUUCUACCACUGGGGAGCCUGAAGACGGAAGUCCUGUGUGACACCAGAGUUCUGCUAGGGACAGUGGAGAGUGUGUCUGUGAAGAGGAAUGAGCGGUCCAUCAUGAUGGGGAAGGUCAUGUCCAUGCAGGCCUUGUGUGGCCCUGUCAACGCCCUGCCUGCCCCUCACUACCUCACAUACUGCAGCUCUACUGAACUGGUGCCGGGCAACACUGACAUCUGGGUGGAAACAAGACAUUUCUCAGAAACAGUAAACUUCAUCUCUGAUCUCAGCGACUAUUCCUCCCUUCUCUCUUCCACCCUCUCCAGAUCCAGCUAACAAACCAGGCUGGGUCUGAUGUAACCAUAUAGACAGCAGAGAAGUUGCCUGAACAAGCAAGCUUUGUAGCCAUGAGCAAUGUUUCUCCUCAGGGUCAGUGGGAACCCGUCGUUCAGGGCAGUUUUGAGCCCCACCUGUUUAGCUGAAAUGAAAAUGAAAAUAUAUUAUACAGUACCGGUAAAAAGUUUGGACACACCAACUCAUUCAAGGGUUUUCCUUUAUUUGUAUUAUUUUCUACAUUGUAGAAUAAUAGUGAAUACAUCAAAACUAUGACAUAACACAUAUGGAAUCAUGUAGUAACCAAAAAAGUGUUAAACAAAUCAAAAUAUAUUUUAUAUUUUUCAAAGUAGACACUCUUUGCCUUGAUGACAGCUUUGCACACUCCUGGCAUUCUCUCAACCAUCUUCAUGAAGAAUGCUUUUCCAUCAGUCUUGAAGGAGUUCCCACAUAUGCUGAGCAAUCAAAUUUGGACUCAUCAGACCAAAAACCAGAUUUCCAACUCUCUAAUGUCCAUUGCUCGUGUUUCUUGUCCAAAGGAAGACUCUUCUUCCUAUUGAUGUCCUUUAGUAGUGGUUUAUAUGCAGAAAUUCGACCACGAAGGCCUGAUUUCAAGCAGUUUCCUGUGAACGGUUGAUGUUGAGAUGUGUCUGUUACAUGAAUUAUGUGAAGAAUUUAUUUGGGCUACAAUCUGAGGUGCAGUUAACUCUAAUGAACUUAUCCUCUGCAGCAGAGGAGAGCAAGUUUCAUAAUAGCAUUUGAUGGUUUUUGUGAAUGUUCCGUACUGAUUGACCUUCAUGUCUUCAAGUAACGAUGGACUGUUGUUUCUCGUUGAUUAUUAAAGCUGUUCUUGCCAUAUGGACUUGGUCUUAUCAAAUAGGGCUAUCUUCUGUAUACCACUCUUACCUUGGUCACAAUACAAAUGAUUGGCUCAAAUUCCACAAAUUAACUUUCAACAAGGCACACCUGUUAGCGGACGACACAACAGUGGUAGGCUUGAUUACCAACAACAACGAGACGGCCUACAGGGAGGAGGUGAGGGCCCUCGGAGUGUGGUGUCAGGAAAAUAACCUCAUACUCAACGUCAACAAAACUAAGGAGAUGAUUGUGGACUUCAGGAAACAGCAGAGGGAACACCUCCCUAUCCACAUCGAUGGAACAGUAGUGGAGAAGGUAGCAAGUUUUAAGUUCCUCGGCAUACACAUCACAGACAAACUGAAUUGGUCCACCCACAGACGCAUCGUGAAGAAGGCGCAGCAGCGCCUCUUCAACCUCAGGAGGCUGAAGAAAUUUGGCUUGUCACCAAAAGCACUCACAAACUUCUAC